AUGGAUGAUAUUGUUGAUGCAUUGGUUCUUAAGCUCCAGUCAAAGAUAUGCUAUCAUAGGGAUGCCAAUGUCGACUACCUGGAAAUCAAGACAAUGGUUGAUAAACUCGUAGAAGCGAACAAAAAGCUCAAGGAUGAGAAAGUGGACUUCCAGGAUGUAAUUAAUAUGGUCAUGGAAGAAAAGGAAAAUUUACAGCAUGACUAUCAAGUAAUCAAGGAGCAGAUGACAAAAAGGGAGGAGCAACUUGAAACUGUAAAAAAGGAACUUGAAGAAGCAAAACAUGAACAUGUGGCAGCAAAUAAGGAGCUUGAGGAAGAAAAACAUGGCCAUGUGGCAACAAAGAAGGACCUUGCGGCGACAGAACAACAACUUGCUCAAAGGAGCGAAGAGCUGGAGGAUUUAAGGAAGAAGCUUCAAGAGAGUGAACCUGUACCUUCCACAAGGGUAACAAGAUCUGCACAUAAGCGGCAAAUGGUGCUCCAUGGGUCGUUGAGCAACGAUGCGGCUGGACAUCGCCAAAAGAAACAUAGGGCCUAUCAGCAUGCAACCCAAGAUGUGACUUGGAGGUGA
This 570-nucleotide ribosomal RNA is filed under the name Triticum aestivum (bread wheat). RNAcentral's name for it is "partial small subunit ribosomal RNA". The record is from RNAcentral. Lineage: Eukaryota; Viridiplantae; Streptophyta; Magnoliopsida; Poales; Poaceae.